CAGUCGCCGCGGUAAUACGUAGGGUGCAAGCGUUAAUCGGAAUUACUGGGCGUAAAGCGUGCGCAGGCGGUUUUGUAAGUCUGUCGUGAAAUCCCCGGGCUCAACCUGGGAAUGGCGAUGGAGACUGCAAGGCUAGAAUCUGGCAGAGGGGGGUAGAAUUCCACGUGUAGCAGUGAAAUGCGUAGAUAUGUGGAGGAACACCGAUGGCGAAGGCAGCCCCCUGGGCUAAGAUUGACGCUCAUGCACGAAAGCGUGGGGAGCAAACAGGAUUAGAGACCCGCGUAGUCCCUGUCUCUUAUAC
RNAcentral lists this ribosomal RNA (301 nucleotides) under uncultured bacterium. RNAcentral describes it as "partial 16S ribosomal RNA". It matches the Rfam family "Bacterial small subunit ribosomal RNA", at positions 509 to 807 of the family's 1533-position model. The record is from RNAcentral.